This 1346-nucleotide ribosomal RNA is filed under the name uncultured bacterium. Its description in RNAcentral is "partial 16S ribosomal RNA". It matches the Rfam family "Bacterial small subunit ribosomal RNA", at positions 28 to 1381 of the family's 1533-position model. The record is from RNAcentral.
GACGAACGCUUGCGGCGUGCUUAACACAUGCAAGUCGAACGGAAAGGCCCUGCUUUUGUGGGGUGCUCGAGUGGCGAACGGGUGAGUAACACGUGAGUAACCUGCCCUUGACUUUGGGAUAACUUCAGGAAACUGGGGCUAAUACCGGAUAGGAGCUCCUGCUGCAUGGUGGGGGUUGGAAAGUUUCGGCGGUUGGGGAUGGACUCGCGGCUUAUCAGCUUGUUGGUGGGGUAGUGGCUUACCAAGGCUUUGACGGGUAGCCGGCCUGAGAGGGUGACCGGCCACAUUGGGACUGAGAUACGGCCCAGACUCCUACGGGAGGCAGCAGUGGGGAAUAUUGCACAAUGGGCGGAAGCCUGAUGCAGCAACGCCGCGUGCGGGAUGACGGCCUUCGGGUUGUAAACCGCUUUCGCCUGUGACGAAGCGUGAGUGACGGUAAUGGGUAAAGAAGCACCGGCUAACUACGUGCCAGCAGCCGCGGUGAUACGUAGGGUGCGAGCGUUGUCCGGAUUUAUUGGGCGUAAAGGGCUCGUAGGUGGUUGAUCGCGUCGGAAGUGUAAUCUUGGGGCUUAACCCUGAGCGUGCUUUCGAUACGGGUUGACUUGAGGAAGGUAGGGGAGAAUGGAAUUCCUGGUGGAGCGGUGGAAUGCGCAGAUAUCAGGAGGAACACCAGUGGCGAAGGCGGUUCUCUGGGCCUUUCCUGACGCUGAGGAGCGAAAGCGUGGGGAGCGAACAGGCUUAGAUACCCUGGUAGUCCACGCUGUAAACGGUGGGUACUAGGUGUGGGGUCCAUUCCACGGGUUCCGUGCCGUAGCUAACGCUUUAAGUACCCCGCCUGGGGAGUACGGCCGCAAGGCUAAAACUCAAAGGAAUUGACGGGGCCCCGCACAAGCGGCGGAGCAUGCGGAUUAAUUCGAUGCAACGCGUAGAACCUUACCUGGGUUUGACAUGGAUCGGGAGUGCUCAGAGAUGGGUGUGCCUCUUUUGGGGUCGGUUCACAGGUGGUGCAUGGCUGUCGUCAACUCGUGUCGUGAGAUGUUGGGUUAAGUCCCGCAACGAGCGCAACCCUUGUUCACUGUUGCCAGCACGUUAUGGUGGGGACUCAGUGGAGACCGCCGGGGUCAACUCGGAGGAAGGUGGGGAUGACGUCAAGUCAUCAUGCCCCUUAUGUCCAGGGCUUCACGCAUGCUACAAUGGCUGGUACAGAGAGUGGCGAGCCUGUGAGGGUGAGCGAAUCUCGGAAAGCCGGUCUCAGUUCGGAUUGGGGUCUGCAACUCGACCUCAUGAAGUCGGAGUCGCUAGUAAUCGCAGAUCAGCAACGCUGCGGUGAAUACGUUCCCGGGGCU